GAUGAACGCUGGCGGCGUGCCUAAUACAUGCAAGUCGAGCGAACGGACGAGAAGCUUGCUUCUCUGAUGUUAGCGGCGGACGGGUGAGUAACACGUGGAUAACCUACCUAUAAGACUGGGAUAACUUCGGGAAACCGGAGCUAAUACCGGAUAAUAUUUUGAACCGCAUGGUUCAAAAGUGAAAGACGGUCUUGCUGUCACUUAUAGAUGGAUCCGCGCUGCAUUAGCUAGUUGGUAAGGUAACGGCUUACCAAGGCAACGAUGCAUAGCCGACCUGAGAGGAGGAUGUGCCACACGGGAAGUGAGACACGAGGCGGACUAGUCCGGGAGGGGGAAGUGGGGAAGAUGGGACAAUGGGCGCAAGCCUGAACCAGCCAUCGCGCGUGUGUGAAGAAGGUCUUCGGAUUGUAAAACCUUUUUAUUGGGAAAGAAAAGCAGCAGCAGAAUACCCCGCUGUUCUGACGGUACCCAAUGAAGAGGCAACGGCUAACUUCGUG
Molecule: ribosomal RNA, 497 nt
Filed under: uncultured bacterium
Lineage: Bacteria
Description: partial 16S ribosomal RNA
Rfam family: Bacterial small subunit ribosomal RNA
Source: RNAcentral